Molecule: ribosomal RNA, 251 nt
Filed under: uncultured bacterium
Lineage: Bacteria
Description: partial 16S ribosomal RNA
Rfam family: Bacterial small subunit ribosomal RNA
Source: RNAcentral
GCAAGUCGAGGGGCAGCACAGGUAGCAAUACUUGGUGGCGACCGGCGCACGGGUGAGUAACGCGUAUGCAACCUACCUUAUACAGGGGGAUAGCUCUCGGAAACGAGGAUUAAUACCCCAUACAAUUAAUGAAUGGCAUCGUUUGUUAAUUAAAGCUACGGCGGUAUAAGAUGGGCAUGCGUGCCAUUAGAUAGUUGGUAAGGUAACGGCUUACCAAGUCUACGAUGGCUAGGGGUUCUGCAAGGAAGGUC